AUGUCGUUAUGAGGGUACUUUCGUAGUAACUCCUUGAACCGCUCCCAUGCCACAUAUAAAGAUUCUUCAUCAAGUUGUUGAAAUGAAGUGAUUUCAUUUUGGAUCUU
Gossypium arboreum is the source of this 107-nucleotide small nucleolar RNA. It matches the Rfam family "Plant small nucleolar RNA R71". Rfam says of the family: R71 is a member of the C/D box family of snoRNAs containing the C (UGAUGA) and D (CUGA) box motifs. NCBI's taxonomy places the organism in Eukaryota, Viridiplantae, Streptophyta, Magnoliopsida, Malvales, Malvaceae. The record is from Rfam.